CCCCGCGUGUGCCGGGGCGGCCUUUUUGCCUUCCUGCCGCUCUCUUGGGCUCGGAGUCGAGGGUGGGCCCGGUUCUGACCGUCCUCGGAGCCGUCUGACCUUCUCUAGCGGACCUCGGUCCCCUCGAGAGGGGGGGAGGGUGUGGUGCCGUGCCGCUUUGCUUCCGGGGUUUCCCCAGCCCCCGGCCCCGCGGGGGGGGGGGGGCCCGCCGGGCGGUUUUCCGCGACGGCCGCGGGAGAGUCGCGGCGGCGUGUGUGUGCGCCCGCGACACCCGCGGCCGGUUCCUUGACGAGCGGGGGUCGGGGGGUGGUCGUUGCGGUGUGUCGAGGCGGAGGGGGAGGGUCUCCUUCCCCCGCCACCUCGCGCGCCUCCGCUUCCCCCUGCCCUGCGCCCGAUUGCGGCUCGUCCGCCCGCGCCGCCUCCCGCGUCGGGGGGUUGGCUUCGGCCACGUGAGGGUGCGGGAGCCGCCCGGAGGGAAACCAGGCUCUAACGCGAGCGAGGGAGAGCCGCGGCUUGGGAGGGGCUCGGCGAGCGGCAGCCGGCCCCCCUGCAACCCUGCCUUAGCCCCUCUCCGGAAGAGACUCCAGCGGGGCGUCGGUUUCGGUCCAGUGUUUGCGCGCGCCCCUGGGUCUCGGGCGCCGAGGGCGGCGCCGCCGGGUCGCGUGCCUCGUGCCGCGGCCCCGGGGCGGUGUCGUUCCCCGGUCCCGGGCUCGAGGCGCCCGGCCCCGCCGGUACCCCGGCGGCGUCCCGGACGCCGUCGGCGGCCCGUGCGCAUGCCGAGUCCCCCCGCGGCGGGGGGUUUUCGAGCGAGAGAGGAAUGCUGCUCGAAGUGCUUGACCACGAUCCCGCCGCCCCGGCGCGGUCUGUCGCCGGGCC
This 876-nucleotide long non-coding RNA is filed under the name Monodelphis domestica (gray short-tailed opossum). Its description in RNAcentral is "lncRNA (ENSMODG00000047482.1)". Lineage: Eukaryota; Metazoa; Chordata; Mammalia; Didelphimorphia; Didelphidae. The record is from RNAcentral.